This is a long non-coding RNA of Drosophila serrata, 529 nucleotides long. NCBI's taxonomy places the organism in Eukaryota, Metazoa, Arthropoda, Insecta, Diptera, Drosophilidae. The record is from RefSeq and is a predicted model, not a curated record.
AUACCUCAUUUCACAUUCUCAGCUGAGACAAACAACAUCUAUUCAGUAAAAGUAACUUUUCCAUAUUAUUAUCCAAACAAUGUAUCUCAAAUUUUUCUCAAACCGUGCAGAUUCUUUUGACCAUGGUUAUAAAUUCAAAAUUCAAGAUGAAGUAACAAUAUUUGACCUAAAAUAAAAUUUAGAAAAGAAAGAUCUAAUGCAGCUGAGAAAUAGACGCAGAGUGCAGCAUCCAGAGCGGCAUCAUCACAGAGAGCUUCAGCAUUGGCGAAAGAAAGUUCCUUCCAUCCUUCACUGGCUGCAGUGAGAUCCUCAAUAUUUUAGAGAAACAAAAUUGCCCGUUAGACAGUUUCACCUGGGUUGUGAUUAGCCAAGUCAUAUUGCAGCAAGAAUUAAAAAAAAAAGGCCGUGGGCGAAGCCUAUCUACAUAUAUUUACGGAUGUAUUCUGUAACUAAGACGCUAUAUUAAUUACACUACAAAAUUUCCCUUUAGUAUCAAAAUUCCUUUUCCGUCUGAUUCAUGUUCAAAAAA